GAUGAACGCUAGCGGGAGGCUUAACACAUGCAAGUCGAGGGGCAUCACGGGGUAGCAAUACUUUGGUGGCGACCGGCGCACGGGUGAGUAACGCGUAUGUAACCUACCCCCAACAGGGGAAUAACCCGGAGAAAUUCGGACUAAUACCGCAUAAAGACGGACUUGGGCAUCCAGGGCCGUCCGAAGCAGCGAUGCGGUUGGGGAUGGGCAUGCGUAACAUUAGCUAGUUGGUAGGGUAACGGCCUACCAAGGCUACGAUGUUUAGGGGACCUGAGAGGGUGAACCCCCACACUGGUACUGAGACACGGACCAGACUCCUACGGGAGGCAGCAGUGAGGAAUAUUGGUCAAUGGGCGGAAGCCUGAACCAGCCAUCCCGCGUGGAGGAAGACGGCCCUAUGGGUUGUAAACUUCUUUUCAAGGGGAAGAAAGUUCGCGACGUGUCGCGAUUUGCCGGUACCUUUGGAAUAAGCAUCGGCUAACUCCGUG
This 488-nucleotide ribosomal RNA is filed under the name uncultured organism. RNAcentral's name for it is "bacterial SSU rRNA". It matches the Rfam family "Bacterial small subunit ribosomal RNA", at positions 28 to 507 of the family's 1533-position model. The record is from RNAcentral.